GUUAAAAUUUAAAUAAUAAAGUUUAUAAAGUGUCAAAUAAACGAUGGUUGCAAAAUGUGUUAAAAAACUUAUGUUAGUAAUGAUGGAAUUACUUAUCCUUAUUUUCCUAAGUGUGCAAGCCGGUGAUUGUGCCCCUAUCUCAUUCUAUCUGUCUCCACCUCCCAUGCUGCCUCCAUAUUCCUUUAAACUUGAUUAUUAUGGACCACUACAACAAUGCCUUGAACUUGGAAUUGAAUCUCAUUGUGCAAGUAUUAAAAGCACAUGGCCAUUUCCAGACUUUGAAUAUGAAAUUUGUAUUUCCGCUACUUUUUACCACUGUUUAGCUAAUAAUAUACAUGAAGUCCCAAGUGUGAUUUCUAUCAUUAAAAAUUGUAUCAAAACCAAUUGCCACCCAAAAUUGAAAAUUAAAGCUAGUCAUCGUAGAAGUGCCAAUUAUGUGAGUUGUUUAUUAGAAUGUUAUGAAAAGCAUUUCAUGAAACCUUUAGAUGUCAUUUAUGCGCAAAAGCCUUGAGUUCUAGCUUUUGAUCAGCUGUUUUUUAGGAAGUUUCCAGAUCCUGUAACGACAGCGUCCUUCUUGCCUUCACUGUUGGAUUCUUCUCUGAUAGAACGUUAAGAUGGUAGCUUGCUCAAGCAUCUGAAUUACAACUGGUACCGAUGUGAUUUUUCCAGAGCAUGGUUGUUGCUGUUGUCCUUGAAGACAAAAGUUUGCCGUGUAUUACUGCCGAGUGGGGCGGCCCUUCUCUUGGCUCUGUGCCAAUUUUCAAUCGGAUUGUAUCGCUUGUUCUUAGGUAGUUUGUUGUGUUACUAGCCAAUUCUUAUGCUGAAAGGUUGAUGUAUCAUGCAUAUGGAUUAGUCGAUCUCCCCCUUCCUUUUGUUCUCCUGUAUUGCUUAGAAAAAAAAAAGGAAUUAUUUUGUUUAUUCCUUUCCUUUUUCCUAUCUUAUUUUUGAAAGAAGGAUAUUCAUUGUAUUAGACAAUGUAUGAAUUAAUCCAAUAAACCUAGUAUUUUUCAUU
Molecule: long non-coding RNA, 1012 nt
Organism: Alnus glutinosa
Lineage: Eukaryota; Viridiplantae; Streptophyta; Magnoliopsida; Fagales; Betulaceae
Exons: 2
Source: RefSeq, a predicted model, not a curated record